GAACUUAGCAGAGAUGCUUUGGUGCCUUCGGGAACUCUGAGACAGGUGCUGCAUGGCUGUCGUCAGCUCGUGUUGUGAAAUGUUGGGUUAAGUCCCGCAACGAGCGCAACCCUUAUCCUUUGUUGCCAGCGGUUAGGCCGGGAACUCAAAGGAGACUGCCAGUGAUAAACUGGAGGAAGGUGGGGAUGACGUCAAGUCAUCAUGGCCCUUACGAGUAGGGCUACACACGUGCUACAAUGGCGCAUACAAAGAGAAGCGACCUCGCGAGAGCAAGCGGACCUCAUAAAGUGCGUCGUAGUCCGGAUUGGAGUCUGCAACUCGACUCCAUGAAGUCGGAAUCGCUAGUAAUCGUGGAUCAGAAUGCCACGGUGAAUACGUUCCCGGGCCUUGUACACACCGCCCGUCACACCAUGGGAGUGGGUUGCAAAAGAAGUAGGUAGCUUAACCUUCGGGAGGGCGCUUACCACUUUGUGAUUCAUGACUGGGGUGAAGUCGUAACAAGGUAGGCGUAGAUGA
RNAcentral lists this ribosomal RNA (516 nucleotides) under uncultured bacterium. RNAcentral describes it as "bacterial SSU rRNA". It matches the Rfam family "Bacterial small subunit ribosomal RNA", at positions 993 to 1509 of the family's 1533-position model. The record is from RNAcentral.